Molecule: RNA transcript, 3347 nt
Organism: Anopheles stephensi (Asian malaria mosquito)
Lineage: Eukaryota; Metazoa; Arthropoda; Insecta; Diptera; Culicidae
Gene: Mocs1
Gene name: molybdenum cofactor biosynthesis protein 1
Exons: 5
Source: RefSeq, a predicted model, not a curated record
UGUGGUGCUCAGUGUUGUUUUUAUUUUCAAACGCAUUUCUAGGUUCCUUUUUGUUCUUUCCCCUUCUGUUCCCUAAACUUCUACUGUAAAUAGUAUAUUAUAUGAAGUGAAAAGGUUCUAAACCUAUAUCGUGAUAUAGUGUAACAACAAUGCAUCAAUUGUUGAAACGUUCCUUAUGUGCAAUUGGACCGAAAGACAGCUCCAAGCGAUGGGUGAUAGCUCCGGCCCAAAAGAUGUUCCACACGGCAAGGCCGACCUUAUCGGAGGAGGGUAGUGCGAGCCGGCUACAAUCUUCUCCGGAAACCACUCCGUCAUCGACAGCGGCAGAAGCAUCGACAGCUGAUAAGAACAAAUCGAACAGUCAACGCGAUCGGAAGCAACGCGCGAACGAACAGUUGUCUGCUAACUUCUCCUCAACGCUUAUCGACACCUUUGGACGGUUUCACAGCUAUCUGCGAAUAUCGCUGACGGAACGGUGCAACCUACGCUGCAAGUACUGUAUGCCCGCCGAAGGUGUACAACUGACCCAGAAAGAUCAGCUACUAACGAGUGCCGAGGUGAUACGGCUGGCGAACCUCUUCGUGACGGAAGGUGUGCGGAAGAUACGGCUGACCGGUGGUGAACCAACGGUGCGCAAAGAUUUAACCGAGAUCGUUGCCAAGCUGAAGGCCACCAAUCCAUUGUUGGAAAGUGUCGGAAUUACUACAAACGGACUCAUGUUAACGCGGCAGCUGGUCGGAUUGCAGCGAGCCGGGCUCGAUGCACUCAACGUCAGUCUGGACACGCUGAAGGCGGCCCGAUACGAGCAGAUAACCCGCCGGAAGGGUUGGGACCGGGUGAUGGCCGGCAUUGAUCUGGCGAUCCAGCUGGGCUAUCGGCCAAAGGUGAACUGUGUGCUGAUGAAGGGCUUCAACGAUGAUGAGAUUUGUGACUUUGUCGAGUUGACGCGCGAUCGCGACGUGGACGUGCGGUUCAUCGAGUACAUGCCCUUUACCGGCAACCGGUGGGACACGGACAAGAUGGUGUCGUACCGCACGAUGCUCGAUACGAUACGGGCCCGGUACCCGGCGUUCGAGCCGCUACCGAACGGGCCGAACGAUACGUCGAAAGCGUACCAGGUGCCGGGGUACCGGGGCCAGAUGGGCUUCAUUACCUCGAUGACGGAACACUUCUGUGGCAGCUGUAACCGGUUGCGGAUCACGGCCGACGGUAACCUGAAGGUGUGCCUGUUCGGCAAUACCGAGGUGUCGCUGCGCGAUGCGCUACGCAGUCCCGGGUGCUCGGAGGACGAUCUGCGCUGCCUCAUCUCGGCUGCCGUCAAGCGCAAAAAGAAACAGCACGCAGGAAUGCUCAAUCUUUCCCAGAUGGAAAACCGACCGAUGAUACUGAUCGGUGGGUAGGUUGGCGGCCGGCAUCGAUGGAGCAAAGCGGCAUCGAGCACUAGUAUCACCAACCCCCCCGCACACAAUUUGAUACGUGACCGUUUACCGUAGGUUAUAGAGACAGCAGCAGGGAGCAUCGCCACUUUCGACAUCAUUUGUACACAACUCAUCACACCGACCCACAACACUACUGCUGGCACACGAUGGAGGCCUCCACCGUCGGCACUACACGUCCCUCAGUCACGUGGACGAACAUACCGGCCGGGCGACGAUGGUCGACGUCGACGAUAAGGUAUCCACGAAGCGAGUUGCCAAAGCGCAAGCCACCGUCUACGUAGGGCCCACCAUUGCGGCACUGAUCGAAAACAAUGAGCUAAAGAAGGGAGACGUCCUCUCGAUCUCACAGAUGGCCGCAAUCGUAGCGGCCAAGAAAACGUCCGACCUAAUCCCGCUCUGCCACAACAUUCCGCUGUCCUCGAUCAAGGUCGAAACGAGCCUGAACAGUUCCACCAACGAGGUACACAUUCUGGCCAAAGUAAAGUGUGACGGCAAGACGGGCGUCGAGAUGGAAGCACUGACCGCGGUAUCGAUCGCCGCCCUGACCGUGUACGACAUGUGCAAAGCGGUGUCGCACGAGAUCCUCAUCAAGAACAUCAUGCUGGUGGAGAAAACCGGUGGCAAGAGCGAAUUCUACCGGAAGCAGAUCAAUCACGAGCCGACGCUCGAGUCGCGCACGAUGGAAUCACGCGACCCGGACCGGAUGCCCAUCGUAACGCGCGGCUACCGGACGGAUCCGAUCGUCACGAACGAACCGUUCGUGCCGAUGUACAUUUGAGCCGGGCGGGCCGCGAACAAGCAUCUCAAAGGCCAAAACUCAUCGAUUGAUUCUACAUCUAGCGUGUUAAGUGCGUGCGUGUGCCUUUAUUCAAAUUCGCUGUUGCAGUGCUAAGCGGCUCCUCACUCAGUACCGGUCGUCCACGUUCGUCGUUUGGCCCCAGUCGAGCGCCAUCUGGGUGGUGCCGCGCGAAAUGGUCUGCAAUCGUACCACCAGCUCACCGUAGGUCUCGCACGCGAGACCCUUGUGUUUGGAGCCGUCGGUCAGUAUCUUUGGAUCGCGCAUUUCCGGAUUAACGCCACUGAUCCAGCUCAUCGCCGCGGAACACAUGUUGGAGUACUUCGGGAUGAAGAGUGGUGCCCGUAGGGUACGUUCCGCCGACGUACCGUUGCCACCACCGCUCAGUGGACAGUGAACCCGUGCAUAGCCACGGUUGGUUUCCACGUUCCAGAUGUUCGCACCGUACAGGCUGAAGACGAUCUGGGGCCAACCGUACGGGUUGGUGGAUUUCAUCGUAAACUCUAUCGGCAUAUUAAACACCACCGUCCGGUAGUCGGAUUCCGUGCGUGCACUCUGGGUAACGGCGGACCGCAGCCCGGACACUAGCUCCCAAUCCGGACCGGCCACCAGAUCGUACCGACAGAACAGUCCACUGCCGUCCGGACCCAUCGGGAAGUAGGCCGACUCGAGCUGGCCCGUAACGGUUAGAUGGAAGAAAUUUUCACUCUCACCGGAUGUUAGCUGUAGUUCCAGCAUUCCAAGGCGUGAGUAGGGAGCACAAGGACAAACAACAAUAGAUCAGGACGACACAAAACUAACUCUCUCGAAACACGAACAAAAACACGAUGCAAACCCUCUGUUGUGUGUUUUGGUUGGCGGCACUGGUAACCAUUUCCAUGGCAACGCGCGCACACACCGCACGGUAUAGAACCAUAAGCUGCUUAGAUUUGGGGUAAUUAGUGGGUAGAAUAGUAAGUGAAGCACGGUUUUACACGACACGGACAUUGCGGACAGACUUAUAGCAUUUACACAAGCAACAACGAGCCUUUUGAGCCGUUUGUGUGUAGUCUCAGUAAGGUUCUUAUUUUAAUCCUAACAAUACAAAUAAAUCAUUAGAUCGUUAGCCGCAA